Molecule: ribosomal RNA, 468 nt
Filed under: uncultured bacterium
Lineage: Bacteria
Description: partial 16S ribosomal RNA
Rfam family: Bacterial small subunit ribosomal RNA
Source: RNAcentral
GACGAACGCUGGCGGCGUGCUUAACACAUGCAAGUCGAACGGAAAGGCCCUGCUUUUGUGGGGUGCUCGAGUGGCGAACGGGUGAGUAACACGUGAGUAACCUGCCCUUGACUUUGUGAUAACUUCAGGAAACUGGGGCUAAAACCGGAUAGGAGCUCCUGCUGCACGGUGGGGGUUGGAAAGUUUCGGCGGUUGGGGAUGGACUCGCGGCUUAUCAGCUUCUUGGUGUGGUAGUGGAUUACCAAGGUUUUGACGGGUAGCCGGCCUGAGAGGGUGACCGGCCACAUUGGGACUAAGAUACGGCGCAGACUGGUACGGGAGGCAGCAGUGGGGAAUAUGGCACAAUGGGCGGAAGCCUGAUACGGCAACGCCGCGUGCGGGAUGACGGCCUUCGGGUUGUAAACCGCUUUCGACUGUGACGAGGCGUGAGUGACGGUAAUGGGUAAAGAAGCACCGGCUAACUACGUG